This is a long non-coding RNA of Girardinichthys multiradiatus, 1211 nucleotides long. RefSeq lists it as uncharacterized. The transcript is spliced from 2 exons. The record is from RefSeq and is a predicted model, not a curated record. NCBI's taxonomy places the organism in Eukaryota, Metazoa, Chordata, Actinopteri, Cyprinodontiformes, Goodeidae.
CCUGUUAAGCAGUGCGUAAUUCUUUCCUCUUUUACGUCUUGGAUUUACGACCUUCAGCUGGAGGACCAAACUUUUCGCUCGGCCUCCACGGCAGAGCGGCAGCAGCUGUGGUGACUUCGUGUAAAAAAGACAAUGAGAGGGCACUAUGCUUCUCUUUGCGCCUUGAACCUGAUAGUGGUGCCAGUUGACAUGGUGGGUUCAAGUUUGAUUGAACGCGCUUUUUUUUCUCAGAGAGAACUCAAAAAAGGCACUUUUAUUUCCUCCUCGUGGCCUGAUCUGUUGCCAUUCAUACGACUGAAAGCGAGGCAGGAAGAGACCUCUGGAAUAUCCCCAGUUUUUCAUAUGUGUGGUCCUUGGCAGCAGAAAAUGGACUUUUAUGGGGCGAGCAGCUGUGUAAGGAGAAGCAUUAGCAAUGCUGACUCAUUACAAAGAGUAGCUGAGACGUCUUGAGCCAAUUUAUUUCUGGUUUGGACGUGAAAGAAUCUUGCAGCCCACUUCCACAGGAUAACAGUGUGUCAGUGGAAGGAGAAAUCUCUGGUUUGGGAAGGAAGUGCCCUCUCACUGAUCGGCUCUGUUUGCCUCAUGGCUUUUCCUUGGAGCAGCUGUCCGUUAUAGCAGGCUGCUGCUGCUGCUGGGGUCGCAGAAGCUCACCGCUGCAGCUUCAAUUAGAAGACAUUGUGGACUCUGGAAUAAAUAGGAAGGAUGCAAAGAUGGAAGCAGACAGUGCUGGAUUCAGUUUCACAGCAUCUUUCAGAAGCAUGAAGGAGUUUUAAUAGUAGCUACUUCCCCUUUUUUUGACAGGACACGGAUACACCCCUAAAUGGGCCCCCCUGUGGUUCAUUGGGUUUGGGAAGUACCUAGUAGUACAACUGUCACGGUUGCUCUUAAAGGGACAGCAGGGUGUUUUAUUUUGAUUAACUAGAGGUAAUGUUGUAGAGUGUUUAAAAUGUCUUCAGUUUACAUUAAUAUUUAUUGUGUAUAAUUGCUGUGGUCAUGAUGAUUUUAAAAUUUGAGACCUGGCAAUCAAAAUAUAACUAUAUAUGGACGAAAGUGAAAAGGGGAGGGAUUUACUUUGCAGCCAAGUUCCUAAACCCAUGUGCAUUAAAACGUGCCUAUUUUCAGCAUUUUGUUGCUCAUUUUUGGCACUUGUCACUGUUAAAUGUUGGGAAAAGGUGCAAACAUUUAUGAAUAAAAUUGCCAAUACAGCAGUA